UACGUAGGGCGCAAGCGUUGUCCGGAAUUAUUGGGCGUAAAGAGCUCGUAGGCGGCUUGUCACGUCGGGUGUGAAAGCCCGGGGCUUAACCCCGGGUCUGCAUUCGAUACGGGCUGCUAGAGUGUGGUAGGGGAGAUCGGAAUUCCUGGUGUAGCGGUGGAAUGCGCAGAUAUCAGGAGGAACACCGGUGGCGAAGGCGGCAUCCUGGACCAACACUGACGCUGAGGAGCGAAAGCCAGGGGAGCAAACGGG
RNAcentral lists this ribosomal RNA (252 nucleotides) under uncultured bacterium. RNAcentral's name for it is "partial 16S ribosomal RNA". It matches the Rfam family "Bacterial small subunit ribosomal RNA", at positions 524 to 776 of the family's 1533-position model. The record is from RNAcentral.